UUUUUUUUUGUUUUGUUUUUUUUUUAUUUAUUUUUUUUGUUUUAAAAAAAAAGCUAGGGUUUUACAAAAAAUAAUGAAGCAAAAUGCAAGAUCUAGGAUGCAAAGGUAAAGAUUAUGGUAGAGAAAAAGAUUAUGUUGCACAAAAUACAAAAAAUAAAUAAAUGAAGAACACAGUUGGGGUUAACAGUAGGGAGAAAAAGAAAAAAAAAAAAACUAGGGUUUAUGCUAAAGAUGAACAAAAUGCAAGAUCUAAGAUGCUAAGAUGUAGAUCGAGGUAGAGGACGAGAUUAUGGUGCAAAAAGUACAAAAAAAAAAUUUAAAAAAAGGGUUAGGUUUAACAGGUUGCAGGAAGAAGAAGAAGAAAAGAAAAAAAAUGGGAGAAGAAAUUACCACAGUAUUUGGAGAAUCCGAGUGCUGGAGGAUUUGGGCGGUUCAGAUGUGGGCUGGGCGCAGGUACUGGGCGACCGGACGGAGAGGAGGAAGAAGAAAAGAAGAAAAAGAAAAUAAAAAUUGAAAGGGAAGGGUCGUCGGGCGGCUGGGAGGAAGAGGGCCCGCUUGCGGGUUUC
This 566-nucleotide long non-coding RNA is filed under the name Ananas comosus (pineapple). Its description in RNAcentral is "long non-coding RNA (ACOM_LNC040788)". Lineage: Eukaryota; Viridiplantae; Streptophyta; Magnoliopsida; Poales; Bromeliaceae. The record is from RNAcentral.